This is a long non-coding RNA of Solanum lycopersicum (tomato), 577 nucleotides long. RefSeq lists it as uncharacterized. Lineage: Eukaryota; Viridiplantae; Streptophyta; Magnoliopsida; Solanales; Solanaceae. The record is from RefSeq and is a predicted model, not a curated record.
UAUUAUUAUUUUGCUAUCACUGUUGAUUCUUCUUCUUCUAUACACUCUAUAGUUGCAGAACUCCAUUUUCAUCUUCGUUAACCGGAGAAUUUUUGAUUGAUAAAAGAAAAAAAAUGAACAGAAAAUUCGGUGGUGGGAAGCCGCCAACAGGAACUCCAUCAAUGGCUUGGUCGACUGUAGUUGUUGUUGUUUCUCUCCUUGCUGGUGCCUCCGUUGUGCACAACUUUUUCAAACCUGAUCUGACUCUGCCUCCUAUAGAAAGCAUAGAUGGAAUCAAGCAGAAAGAUGCAGAGAAUCAAUAAUCUUUUAUUUCCAUUCAAUUAAGUUUUGAUAAAUUUUAUGAAAUUGUUGUUCUUCCCUUUGUAUUUGACAGAUUUUUCUUUUGUAGCAGCAACACAGAAACCAAAUUUAGUUUUUUAUGUUUUAUACUAGGUUGUGCUUUGUGCAUGUACCCCUUCUAUUUUGUCCAUAGUCGAUAUUGAUGCACUAAGCUUUUGCUAUACGAAAGUCUAUUUCAGAAAAGGUAGGACUACAAGGGUUAAGUGUACACAACUUUUAGUAAGAAGAAAGUUACUCA